RNAcentral lists this ribosomal RNA (484 nucleotides) under uncultured bacterium. RNAcentral describes it as "partial 16S ribosomal RNA". It matches the Rfam family "Bacterial small subunit ribosomal RNA", at positions 30 to 507 of the family's 1533-position model. The record is from RNAcentral.
AUUGAACGCUGGCGGCAGGCCUAACACAUGCAAGUCGAGCGGAUGAAGGGAGCUUGCUCCUGGAUUCAGCGGCGGACGGGUGAGUAAUGCCUAGGAAUCUGCCUGGUAGUGGGGGAUAACGUCCGGAAACGGGCGCUAAUACCGCAUACGUCCUGAGGGAGAAAGUGGGGGAUCUUCGGACCUCACGCUAUCAGAUGAGCCUAGGUCGGAUUAGCUAGUUGGUGGGGUAAAGGCCUACCAAGGCGACGAUCCGUAACUGGUCUGAGAGGAUGAUCAGUCACACUGGAACUGAGACACGGUCCAAACUCCUACGGGAAGCAGCAGUGGGGAAUAUUGGACAAUGGGCGAAAGCCUGAUCCAGCCAUGCCGCGUGUGUGAAGAAGGUCUUCGGAUUGUAAAGCACUUUAAGUUGGGAGGAAGGGCAGUAAGUUAAUACCUUGCUGUUUUGACGUUACCAACAGAAUAAGCACCGGCUAACUUCGUG